GAUGAACGCUGGCGGCGCGCUUAACACAUGCAAGUCGAACGAAGCACUUUAUUUGAUUUCCUUCGGGACUGAUUAUUUUGUGACUGAGUGGCGGACGGGUGAGUAACGCGUGGGUAACCUGCCUUGUACAGGGGGAUAACAGUUGGAAACGGCUGCUAAUACCGCAUAAGCGCACAGCAUCGCAUGAUGCAGUGUGAAAAACUCCGGUGGUAUAAGAUGGACCCGCGUUGGAUUAGCUAGUUGGUGAGGUAACGGCCCACCAAGGCGACGAUCCAUAGCCGACCUGAGAGGGUGACCGGCCACAUUGGGACUGAGACACGGCCCAAACUCCUACGGGAGGCAGCAGUGGGGAAUAUUGCACAAUGGGCGAAAGCCUGAUGCAGCGACGCCGCGUGAGCGAAGAAGUAUUUCGGUAUGUAAAGCUCUAUCAGCAGGGAAGAUAAUGACGGUACCUGACUAAGAAGCACCGGCUAAAUACGUG
This 481-nucleotide ribosomal RNA is filed under the name uncultured bacterium. Its description in RNAcentral is "partial 16S ribosomal RNA". It matches the Rfam family "Bacterial small subunit ribosomal RNA", at positions 28 to 507 of the family's 1533-position model. The record is from RNAcentral.